This 3923-nucleotide long non-coding RNA is filed under the name Oreochromis niloticus (Nile tilapia). RNAcentral describes it as "lncRNA (ENSONIG00000027703.1)". Lineage: Eukaryota; Metazoa; Chordata; Actinopteri; Cichliformes; Cichlidae. The record is from RNAcentral.
AUGUUCUCAGAGUUGCUGCUGCUGUCUGAACAGCUCAUGUUGUGCUUUGUUUUCCUCCCAGUUCCUCAGGUGGAGGUGGAUUCAGGAGUGGAGUCUGUCUGGCUGCCCUACAAAACUUUAGUUAACUUCCUCAAAGACACUAAAGUGGUGUGGAGGGACAGUUCAGACAGGAAGGUUCAUGUGUGUCAGAACAUCUCUGAGCCUGAAGAUCAGGACCCUGUUUACAGAGACCGAACGAAGAUGAAUGAAAACUUCCUGCAAACCGGAGACCUCAGUCUGAACCUGAAAUACCCCACAGAUGGAGAUAACAACACCUACACCUGCACCGUCUACAGCAAGGAGGGAAAAACCCUGAUGAAGAAACAAGUGGAGCUGAAAGUCAAAGCGCACAUUGUGCUUUGUUUCCCUCUCAGUCCCCAUUGUGGAGGUGGAGCAGUCGGGGGUGGAGUCUGUCCAACUCCCCCUCCAAAUUAAAGUUAACCGGCUGAACGACUCGAAAGUGGAGUGGGUGGACAGUUCAUACAGGAUGCUCUACGUGUACCGGAACAACUCUGACCAACCUGAAGAACAGGACCGCCGAUACAGAAACCGAACAGAGAUGAAUGAAGACCUGCUGAUAACUGGAGACCUCAGUCUGACUCUGAAACACCCCACAGACUGGGACAGAGGGCCCUACACCUGCACCGUCUACAGCGGGGAGGGAAACAUCCUGAUGAGGAAACAAGUGGACCUGAAAGUUGCAGGUCAGUGCUGCAGUGUGCGUGUGUGUGUGUGUGUGUGUGUGUGUGUGUGUAAUCCAAGUUUCAUGGGAUCUGCUUGAACUUCAUUUUCAUAUUAUAUAAAGCAGUGGUUCCCUGGUGGUGAGUAGGGAUGGGUAUCAUUUAGGUUUUAUCUGAUACCAGUACCAAACUGGUACUUUUGAAACGGUGCCGGUGGUUAAAUGGUGCUUAAAGAAUGGAGAACACAAACUUUUUCAAAAACCUCUCAUGUUAGCUGUUUUUUUUUUUGUUUUUUUUGUAAAAAGAUAACAAUGUUAGCCUUUUCUGCUGCUACAGGAUGUGAGUGAAGUUGCACCAACCCCCCCCCCCACCUUCUUCAAAUCCAACAAAAGUGGUAUCAAACGUUUGUGCUACGUUUAUGCUGCAAAAAUUUUGUUUGUGUCGCUAUCAUUUUAAAGAUAUCAAUAGAAAUUUCUAGAGGUCAUCAGAGGUCAACCAGCCCCCCCACAUUAAUGGAAUCCCAAAAGGAAAAAUCCAAAAGGAAAUCCCAAAAGGUUGAUUCUGUUCAUCUGGACAUUUUCAGUUGGAGAAACGUUUCGUCACUCAUCCAAGUGACUUCUUCAGUCUCAGCUGACUGCAGGUUUCCCCAAACCUUAUAAACACAACAUUUGCAUAGUGAAGGAAACCAGCCCACUGAAGGAACAAUGUGCUGUGAGGUCAGUUCCAUGAUUGUUAGUAUGCAAAUUCUUAUGACCAUUGAUCAAUGACAACUAAUCAAAGUCUACUGAUCAAUGGCCAUGAGUACCAUUCACAGAAAGUGGGGAAUGGCUACAAUCACAGCAUUGUAGGAUGGCAAAAGACGUACCCUUGGGCCCCCCUUCUCGAUUCAGAGAUGGUCAGCAUCCUGACAGCCCGAUGGACGAAGCUGUCUCUCAGUCUCUCUCUCAGCUAGCUACAUCCAACUUUUUCAUCCAGACUAAAAAAGAACACACAGAUAAAAAACUAAAUACAACAACAAAAACAACAUGACAUAAAUAUUAAAUGAAGGAAGAAAAAUUGAAAAAUAUUACAGUCUGACAUGCAGCUCUAUGGUUUGUUGCACCUUCUUUGAGGAUUGCAUGGUCUGAAUUUGGGGAAAGUGGCAGCCGUCAUUUCUUGUGAAUAAUUUCUCACUGUAAGUAACUAAUGUGUAUUUAUAUAGUGCUUUUGUUUUUCUGCCACUGUAAAUAAGAAUGCGCUCUUUCCUUGAUUAGAUAAAGGUUACUCUGACUCACUGCUCCACCUUGUGGCUGAAAUUGCUAUUACAUAGAAGUGCAGCUAAGCCCCAGGUCCAACUUCAAUUUUUUUUUUAAAUUUGUUCGUCUUUUGAUAAUUAAACUCUAAUUACUUAUGUCUGUAGUUGUAGAUGGUUGGUGGUUAUUAAACACAAGAAGUACUGCACUGACUUGAACAUCCUGUCAGUCUUUUAAAUAUAAGAUUACAUUUUGCUGCUCUAUAAGUUGUGAUAUAAAGUUGCAGAAAUCUCUGUUAUAUUCAAGGAUUACUAACAAAUACUACUAUUUCCCUGGUGAACAAAAAGAUUAAAAUGUAACUGGGAUAAAACUUUAGAGUACUAAGAUUCCUCACAUCAUGUUCACCAGGGAGGACAAAGGAUAACUGUUUGCUGAGCUGAGGCCUAUAUGCAGUCCACCUUUGUUUUUGCAUCUUCGUUCACUUUGAAAUAGUUCCACACGGCUCACUUGUCUCGCCUUCUUCCAGCUCCGAGCUGCAGCUGGGGCCUGGGGGCGGGCACUCGGCGCCUGUGAUUAACCCCUUACAUGCCGCUCAAACAUAGACAGGUCUCAGACCGUGGUAUUGGUCCCCAGUAUCGGGGAACUUUUAACGAGAACUUUAGAAAAUGUGGUAUCGAGGCCGAUACCAGAUACCGGUAUGGAUAUCGGUGCAUCCCUAGUGGUGACGUCAACAAAAAACACAUUUCCUGUUUGCAUACAUUUUUUACAAAUAAGAUAUUAUGGGAGAAGGAGGGAGGAGUGUGCAUAACACAGGAUGAAUGGACUCAAAUAUGGAAAGAACAAUGGAAAUGCACUACCUCACAAAGAUGGAGGGAAUUUGGAUGGAAAAUUUUGAUUAGGUUCUUUAUCACCUCUUACCAAAAGAUUUAUUAUGAUGGGAAUCCCCCGUAUGCUGGAGAAAAUAUGGACACAGAUGACUACACCUCUGAUAUUUGCAGGCAGAAUUUUAAACCUUGGGUGAAAUGGGGUCAAUGCAGUUCUUAAGCAUGCAUGCAAAUGUUCAUUAGUCAGCUGUGAGCGAGUCUUUCCCAUUCAUCUUUAAAUGCCAGAUUUUCACUUCAGGAAGCACACAGCCCCACUCCACUGUUGGCCAACGCCCUCAACGACUUUUACUGCCGGUUUGAUGAGACAUCAAGCAGCUUUCACAACUCAAUAGAGAAUUCCCCAACAAUAGAGACACUUUGGUCACUCAUGGUAAUGGUAAAUGGACUGAUUCUUAUAUAGCGCUUUUCUACUCUCCCGGAGUAUCAAAGCGCUCUAUACAACACACAAACUCCUCCUCAGACAAUAUAUUUACCCUUCUGUGCCAUUUCAUGUUUAGGUCAGUUAUGUUUGUUUAGGUCAGUUAUAUUUCUUUGUGCAGUCAUUUGGUUUGUUAAGUUUGCAGUUCUUUGCCUGAGUUCAGUUUUGUUUCUUUGACAUUUUUUAUGAGCUUAACAUUAAUUACUUUUGUAAAUAUAAUAUUUGGGUUAAAUGAAUGAAAACUUUGUUUUUCUAAUAAUUCUUGUGACUGCUUUUUCAACUUGGUUCAUCACACAGCCCUAAAUAUUUGUUUAAUGUCCUGGUCAAAUAUUACUCCAAGGUGUUACUGGAGGCCAAGGUAAUGCCAUCCAGAGCAAGUAUCUGGUUAGAUACCAUAUUUCUAGGUAUUUAAGGGCCAAGUAUAAUCAGCAGCAUAAAGUUAGUUGUCACCCAGGUCUUUAUAUCAAGCUCUGCUGUGUUCAAGCUAUUAAUUACUGCACGCAGGAGAGCCAAAACACACAUCAAACAUUCAGUUAUGCCAGCUUUAACCUUGGGAUGCCUCAGCUUCUCUUUUAUAUCCCCCACACUCAACUCUCUGCAUCAGGAAGCUCCUGCCACUGGUCACCCUGGGAGUUUCGUCCUUCUACACCCUAACAGUUAGCAGAUAACG